AGUGAACGCUGGCGGUAGGCCUAACACAUGCAAGUCGAACGGCAGCACAGUAAGAGCUUGCUCUUACGGGUGGCGAGUGGCGGACGGGUGAGGAAUACAUCGGAAUCUACUUUUUCGUGGGGGAUAACGUAGGGAAACUUACGCUAAUACCGCAUACGACCUACGGGUGAAAGCAGGGGAUCUUCGGACCUUGCGCGAUUGAAUGAGCCGAUGUCGGAUUAGCUAGUUGGCGGGGUAAAGGCCCACCAAGGCGACGAUCCGUAGCUGGUCUGAUAGGAUGAUCAGCCACACUGGGACUGAGCCACGGUCCAGACUCCGACGGGAGGCAGCAGUGGGGUAUAUUGGAAAAUGGGCGCAAGCCUGAGCCAGCCAUACCGCGUGGGUAAAGAAGGCAUUCGGGUUGUAAAGCCCUUUUGUUGGGAAAGAAAAGCAGCAGGUUAAUACCCCGCUGUUCUGACGGUACCCAAAUAAUAAGCACCGGCUAACUUCGUG
Molecule: ribosomal RNA, 492 nt
Filed under: uncultured bacterium
Lineage: Bacteria
Description: partial 16S ribosomal RNA
Rfam family: Bacterial small subunit ribosomal RNA
Source: RNAcentral